This 419-nucleotide ribosomal RNA is filed under the name uncultured Fidelibacterota bacterium. RNAcentral's name for it is "bacterial SSU rRNA". It matches the Rfam family "Bacterial small subunit ribosomal RNA", at positions 10 to 418 of the family's 1533-position model. The record is from RNAcentral. Lineage: Bacteria; Pseudomonadati; Fidelibacterota.
AGUUUGAUUAUGGCUCACGAAGAACGCUGGGGGUCUGCUUAACACAUGCAAGUCAAGGAGAAUUUUAUCUUCAGAUAAUUAUUACACUGGCCAAUGGCUGACUAACGCGGAGAUAAGUUGCCUCUUACAUUGGGACAACAUUGGGAAACCAUGGCUACUACCGAAUAAUGCAGCGCCCCCUUCCAGGCCUAGUUGGUAAAGUAGGCUUCUCCUUCCACUUUGCUAUCUAUUUGCUGCCGAUUAGUUACUUGAUAGGGUAAUAGACUAGCAAGAACAACAUCCGGAGCUGGUCUAAGAGGAUGAUCAUCCGCCCUGGAAUUGAGAUACGAUCCACACUCCUACUACAGGUGGCAGCGAGGAAUUUUGGUCGAUGGGCGAAAGCCUGAUGCCCCCCCCCACGCGUGAUUGACGAAGUUUUU